UCUGAGGCCCGCAGUUUUGGAAGAGG
RNAcentral lists this non-coding RNA (26 nucleotides) under Macaca fascicularis (crab-eating macaque). The record is from RNAcentral. Lineage: Eukaryota; Metazoa; Chordata; Mammalia; Primates; Cercopithecidae. RNAcentral also lists the same sequence under 1 other name.